AGUUUUUCUGGUUUUGGGCCUCUUAAUUUCUUUGUGUUUCAAUCAUGCCUGCUCUUGUUAACUACGGUGGAGAUGAUGAAUUCUAUUCUACUGGGUCUUUUCGUACAAAUCCAAUCGACUUGGGUCGAUUUUAUUCAAUUGGUUCCCAUGUGGAUAUAUACAGCCCUCCCUGCAAGCGGGCUCGCACUAGUUCCCCUUUUCUUUAUGGAAUCUUCGAACCUGAGCAGAAUAAGCAGCCAUCAAUUGACGU
This 250-nucleotide unclassified non-coding RNA is filed under the name Hevea brasiliensis (rubber tree). Lineage: Eukaryota; Viridiplantae; Streptophyta; Magnoliopsida; Malpighiales; Euphorbiaceae. The record is from RNAcentral.